RNAcentral lists this ribosomal RNA (440 nucleotides) under uncultured bacterium. RNAcentral describes it as "partial 16S ribosomal RNA". It matches the Rfam family "Bacterial small subunit ribosomal RNA", at positions 338 to 795 of the family's 1533-position model. The record is from RNAcentral.
CCUACGGGGGGCAGCAGUGAGGGAUAUUGGUCAAUGGGGGAAACCCUGAACCAGCAACGCCGCGUGAGGGAAGACGGUUUUCGGAUUGUAAACCUCUGUCCUCUGUGAAGAUAAUGACGGUAGCAGAGGAGGAAGCUCCGGCUAACUACGUGCCAGCAGCCGCGGUAAUACGUAGGGAGCGAGCGUUGUCCGGAUUUACUGGGUGUAAAGGGUGCGUAGGCGGCCCUGCAAGUCAGAAGUGAAAUCCAUGGGCUUAACCCGUGAACUGCUUUUGAAACUGCAGGACUUGAGUGGAGUAGAGGUAGGCGGAAUUCCCGGUGUAGCGGUGAAAUGCGUAGAGAUCGGGAGGAACACCAGUGGCGAAGGCGGCCUGCUGGACUGUGACUGACGUUGAGGCCCGAAGGCGUGGGGAGCAAACAGGAUUAGAUACCCCGGUAGUC